UAUUUACUUGGGCAGAGCUCCAGAUAAGAAUUCACAAAUUGGGUUUUUUACCCACCAUUUUCUUAUAUAAUUGGGUGAUAAAGUUUUUUAAUUGCAUUAUCAAUUCCAAUUCACCCCUCAUGUUAAUAUCAAAUUGGGUUUUUCACCACCAAGCUCCUUAAUGUAUUGGGUUUUUUCAUCAACACAAUAUUGAAUAUUUAGGCAAUAUCAACCCCAG
RNAcentral lists this long non-coding RNA (217 nucleotides) under Mytilus galloprovincialis (Mediterranean mussel). Lineage: Eukaryota; Metazoa; Mollusca; Bivalvia; Mytilida; Mytilidae. The record is from RNAcentral.